AAGGAUAUAGGGAGACACUUGAUAUUGGCUGGCCUAUACGGUACUUGGCAAUUAUCAUAAAGUUAAUGUUUACCAUGUGCCCUCCCCAUCAACUAAACUAUCUAAUCUUUUGAAACUUUGUUGCUAUAUAAUAUUAUCAUCAGAUAAGGUUACUUAACAUCUAAAUGGGAUCAAAUAUUACAUUACAAUAAAUAACAUUAAUAUUAAAAUGGAUUAAUUUAAGCUACAUCCCCAAGAGUGCAUUCCAAGCCUGGUGGGUACAGAUGAUGCUGACUGGACUGACUGUUGAUUUUUUAAGAAACAGUUGUGGUGUCUAACCUCCUGCAACCCACCAUCUUCACGUAGCCUCAAAAAUAUUAAUAUUUCCUUGCUUAGCUCACCUCUUAGGGUGAUGAGCAUAUUUUGCUAAUAUUAUUGGAUUAAGCAGUGACUGCACAAUUUUCAAAACCCAACUGGGUAAAAACAGUGCACAAAGUAGAAUUUUGAAAUCAGCACAAUUAGAGCAGAGUUCUCAUCAACUUAACCAAAAUGCAGACUUGUGGGGCAGGCCUCCUUGCCACACACACGCAAAGAAAAUAUUUGUUAUUAUUCACCAAGGGCCGUAUUUAUAAAGCGCUCAUAAGCACUCAUAAGCUGUCAUAAGUAGACAAAAUGGCGAUUCUUGUCAUAACUUGCAUAGGUGACCUGAACAUGACAUGAAGUGACCUGAAUUUGACAUGAUGUGACCAGACCCUCUUCUACUGACUACCAAGGAAUAGCCAAUGGACUAGGUGAGUUGAUAUUUCCAUUCGGCACUUGUUAAUGGUGUAAGGAAGAUAUUCAGCAUAAAAGUGUGAUUAUCUCGAAACUACUUCUUUCUGAAUAAGGUACAAAUAACUUUGUAACAAUGCAAUUUUACUUUUUUUGUUUU
This is a long non-coding RNA of Eriocheir sinensis (Chinese mitten crab), 910 nucleotides long. RefSeq lists it as uncharacterized. The record is from RefSeq and is a predicted model, not a curated record. The transcript has 2 exons. Lineage: Eukaryota; Metazoa; Arthropoda; Malacostraca; Decapoda; Varunidae.